Molecule: ribosomal RNA, 207 nt
Filed under: uncultured bacterium
Lineage: Bacteria
Description: partial 16S ribosomal RNA
Rfam family: Bacterial small subunit ribosomal RNA
Source: RNAcentral
CGCGUAGGCGGUGUUUUAAGUGAGAUGUGCAAUCCCCGGGCUUAACCUGGGAACUGCAUCUCAGACUGGAACGCUAGAGUACUGGAGAGGGUGGUAGAAUUCCACGUGUAGCGGUGAAAUGCGUAGAGAUGUGGAGGAAUACCAGUGGCGAAGGCGGCCACCUGGACAGUAACUGACGCUGAGGCGCGAAAGUGUGGGUAGCAAACA